GGUCAAGAUCAAGGCUCCUCCGGAAAAUGCCUUUUUAACCACAUAGGGUCCCUCGUAUGUUGGUGACCAUUUGCCCCGUGGAUCGUUUUGGUUCGACAGCACUUUCUUCAGAACUAAGUCCCCGGGUUGGAAUUCGCGUGGNUUUAUCAAAUGCCCUAGCCAUUCUCCUCUGAUAUAAUUGCCCAUGACAUGCCGCUGCUAACCUUUUCUCAUCAAGCAAGUUUAACUGAUCCAACCUUGACUGAAUCCAUGNUCUGACUCAUCAAUUCCUGACUCCUUCAGAAUUCUUAGGGAAGGGAUUUCAACUUCAAUGGGCAAUACUGCCUCCAUACCAUAGACCAGCGAGUAUGGAGUUGCCCCGGUUGAA
RNAcentral lists this unclassified non-coding RNA (367 nucleotides) under Hevea brasiliensis (rubber tree). Lineage: Eukaryota; Viridiplantae; Streptophyta; Magnoliopsida; Malpighiales; Euphorbiaceae. The record is from RNAcentral.